Molecule: long non-coding RNA, 1964 nt
Filed under: Bos grunniens (domestic yak)
Lineage: Eukaryota; Metazoa; Chordata; Mammalia; Artiodactyla; Bovidae
Description: lncRNA (ENSBGRG00000011237.1)
Source: RNAcentral
UGGUUUUUGUACUAGGGCCUUUGUAAGGGCACUUUGUAAGGGCAGAAACAGCCGCAGUAUCGUGCGAUGUUGCAGCCACUGCAGUUUCACUGGCUUUGCGGCCACAGUUCUAGCAGUUCUCCGUUGACUCUUCUGCUCGUUUAUGACGAGAAAGGCAUCCUCUGCAGCCUGCCGUUUGACGUCCGCUAUUGUCUGCUCCAUUCUAGCUCUCUCGGUUGCAGUCACUUCAAAGGCUUUUUGCUCUGCCUCAGCAACAGCUUUUUGUACUUCUGACAUGGCCUGAAUUUUCACCUUAUUCACAGCUUCAGUCUUUUUCCAAAACUCCACAGGUACAUAUCCUAUUCCCUGCCUACUGUUGAAUUCCCGGCGAGAAUCAUUGCUGAGAGAAUCUGCGCUCCCAGGAUUGUGCUGCCUGGAGACCAACUCACUCCCUGUUUUCCUCAUUUCUGUUUUUGUUGAAUCGUCUUUUCCAGUAGUUGAGUUCUUCACGGUCUGCUUCUUGACAGUGCCGCAGGACUGCCAUGGAGCACCUUGUUUUCUCUGCCAUUUCCAUAAUGCAGUUGAGGGCACGGUCAAGAUGUUUCCAUUCAUCAGCCCAUUCCCUUUCUGUCAAACGGUGGUCUACCAACUCAUCUUGAUAGCCUCCAUUUAGACCUCUCUGGACUGGGCCUUUUUCCAUUUCCAUGCACUUCCAUGAGCAGCUCAGAAGAGUCAGCAGGGGAUGCAAUACUUGUGUUGAGCAGAUGGUGUUCUCGUUGAGCCAGGUACUGGGAUGGGGUCUGCUUGGCAGCCCGAGCGCAGUGCAGCAGUUCUUGCUGCAGCAGAGAAAGGUUGGCCCUGAGGAAUGGAAUAAAAAAAGGAUGAAGAGGAAAGUUUGUAGCCUCCUGGAGCUUGCAAUGGAAUUCUUCAAUUGUUACUGUUGAGUUGACCAGUGUUAGAACAAGAGUCUGCACCUUCUCCCCAGUCUCAGGUGAGAUGACAUUGCCAAACUGCUGCAGAGUGGCGAGGAAGCGUUUCAACUUGCUGAGCUGCCGAGCACCACGAGUGGCUGGCAACUGUUGGUUAGUUAGUGCAGAUGAUGUGGAAGAGGCAAGACCAUUGCUGAAUCUUUGUGGUGGUGAUGGGGCACUGCUAAGGGUAGGAGGAGAAUUGUUGAUGCCAUUGCUCAAUGCUGUAGGAGUGAAUGACACGGGCCUGGGUCCUCCAGGAUUUAUUGGUGGAAGGGGUGGCAUGGUGGGAGGUGAGGAGCUUGACUGUAUCUUCACUUUCACAGGAGAUCCAGGCAUCGCUGGCACCCUUUUGUCAGCACCAAGCUGGAAGGCGGCUGCUCCAGGGACGCCCACCAUUGCCCAGGGCUGCUGCCGUGCACUUCCACCUCCACUCGUGGCCUGGGUCCCCUGCAGGCACUUUGAGGCAUCAUGCUAAUUAAUUUGGCCCUUGGACACAGCACUGUGUAUUCUGAGAGGACAAUGAGGAGAAACGUAUCAGAGCUUGCAUGUCUUUUCUCAACUCUUAACAGAUCAUUGUAAUCGAUGAAGCAGACAGCUGAGUUCCUGGGGGCUCUCACUGAGUUACCUGUGGGGAUGCCUAUGCACUGGUUGGCUUAGUUACUUUGGCUCUAUUCUUGGUCAGAACUGAAAUUGUUUCAGAGUAUUCAUGAAGAUUUCUUAAUACAUUAAAACUUGUUACUGUGGUACACAUGAAGUAUGAGAUUUGAAUCUUAUAAAUUAAAUCUAAUAUGUCAGACUUUUUUCCUGCUUGCUCAGUCACUCAGUCGUGUCCAAUUCUUUGUGACCCCCAUGGACUAUGGCCCGCCAGGCUCCUCUGCCCAUAGAAUUUUCCUGGCAAGAAUACUGGAGUGGGGUGCCAUUUCCUACUCCAGGGGAUCUUCCCGACCCAUGGAUUGAACCCACAUCUCUUGCGUCUCGUACAUUGGCAGGUGGAUACUUUACCAGUAGUGCCAA